GGGGCCAUGAUGCAAUGGCACCCCCUUACUACUUUGCCUGAUGGACCAACCCAGCGAAGGUGGACCAUUCUCCACCCUGCUAACACAGCAGCAGCAGUGAUCCCUGGUAGGCCUAAGUACCUUACUGGGCAGAGAGUGACUAUCCUGGAGUCCUAGGAGCAGCUAGAUCAGGGAAGUCCAAAGCAUGGCCCAAGGACUGCAUGUGGCUGUUGAGGACUUUUGGCAGCUCUCCACAACAUUUGACACCUCUCUCUUUGCCUUCCCAAAGCCUGGUAAGCAAGGUGCUGGGCUUUGGGAAGGAGGUGUGAGAGCUUUGACAGGGUCCUUGAGUCCUCCUGCAUCCUUCCCGAAGCCUAGUUAGCACCUUGCCAGCUUUAGGAAGGAGUUGGGAGGGCUGUAGGACACUGCCAGAGGCUUGCAACUCCUCCCCAAAUCCCGGCUCCUCGCUUAGCCAGCUUUGGGAAGGCUGGGCGGGGUGUCAAGUUUUGGCCUCGCUUCCCCACACAUGACAGGUUGGUGCGCAGCCCACAGGUUCUGUGUCAAAAGUACUGUUGUGGGCCACUUGGUAUGAAAAGUUAGACUGGUCUGAGCUAGAUCCUUGCCCACCACUAUAGAGUCUCAUGCUGAGGCCAGCUGGAAACAGGGUGGAGCCCAGGAUGUGGAGAAAGAAUCCUUCCCAGCCAACCCUGGCAACAUGAGGCACAGUUAUACAUCUCUCCUUAAAGAGCAUUCAGAAUGGAUUGAGUUUUGAGAGUAAAAGAUGGUGUUCAUGAGGUGGCCCCUGCUCAGCCCAGCGAGGCUCAUGGGGCUAGUCCCAGUUGUCCUGUCCCUUGUAGCUUCAUCCCCACACAAGGGAGGCCAUUACCUGUUGCAUAACUCCUUGUCACAAAGCUUGCAGAGGGUUAAGGACCCUUUCUUGAACAAGUAGGUUGGCAACUCCCCAAGGGAUCAGGGAGCAUCGCUGGCAGACAAACAAUGGUGACCUCCCUGGUGGCCUGUGUAGGGCUGGGUGUCAGGUGGGGAGCAAAGGGGGAGGCGGAGAGAGAGAGAAACAUUCAGUGGGCGACAACUGGCAGGUAUGGCUUCUGGACCUGGUUGCACAAUGGAUGCCUGGAAAGAAGGGAGAGUGGGACCACGUGGCUGCUCUGCCAGUAAAUUCCCCUCAGCUGCCACUUUUCUCCCCAGUCCACCCUGGCAUGAUGGUGAGGGACAGUCUGCAGUGACUGAGGCUUUCCCUGUGGUGAGUUUGUUCUGCUCCAUACAUCUAGGCUGUGAUCCUGCAAGGCUUGCUGUAAUCUUGUGCUUUGGGCUGUUCUGUGGGGCAGGAAGAACUGGCGGCUUUCCCAAAGUAAAGCUCAGGCUGCUAAGUGGCCUGAGAGGAGCUAGACUGUAGCCCAUCUCGGAUCAGAGGGCUGAAGCUUAAAAGCAAAGUGAAGCUUUUUUGCACCACUUUGGGAAUUGACAAGGCUCAUUGGAACCUGCAGCAUGUGAUACAGUCAGCAGUCCUAUUGAGCAACUUCCGAUCUUAGUCCCAGGAGCAUGACAUGCAGAUUUAUCAUCCUGGCCCUGCUUGAGUCUCCCAGCCCACUGCCUCUUCUUUUGGAAAGAAGAAUCUGCAGACAACACAUUUUUUUAAUGCAGGCACUUUUAACCAUAUAUGUAGUUGUUCACUCCGCCAUGAUCCGUUUGAAUGUGUGUACAUUUUUAAAGUUAUUUUGUCUAAAUCUAUAUAUUAUCUCAUUUACUGUAUGAGUCUAAAAGCCACUGUCAGGAUUAAGAGAAAUGUGAUGGUCAAUAUAUCAAGUUUUGUUAUGGGCGGUGCUUUUUUUCUGGGGGGAAGCAGGGAUAUGCAUACCCCUAAACAUUUUGUGAAUCUAAGUUUGGCCUCAUUGAGGGGCAGUAUUUCAAUAUGAGUAGGAAAAUGAGAGUGCCCCUAAACAUUUUUUUAAGAAAAAAAAAGCACUGGUUAUUGGUAACAGACUGCACUGUACUCAGGCCAGUUCCAGCCAAGUCCCAUGCAUUUUUUUGGAAGAAAGUCUUGGUGUGCAUAGGAUUCUAGGCUGAUUCUGCAUAUAUAAAGUCUAGCUGGCGCUGAGUUUGCUCCUAUUUGGCAAAACAAUGCUUUCCAAGUACAGUGGUACCUCUGGUUGCGGAUGGGAUCUAUUCUGGAGGUCUGGCCAGGUACGAGGUUUUCACAACCAGAAAGACCGCUUCUGUGCACACAUGCACGGCGGAAGAGCGCUUCUGUUCAUGCACAGAAGUAGUUACUGCUACUGCACAUGUGGCAGAAACCCGGAAAUAUACUUCCGGGUUUGCUGCUUACGUAUCCCGAAGUUUACGUAACCGGAGGGAUACAUACGCGGAGGUACGACUGUAUGUCUAUAGAGUGUUUCUCAAGUAUGUCACAUGCAUUUUCUUGCAAUUUUCAUAAAAUAGAAUACAUAGACCUGUGUUGUUAUUCUGGUAUUGCUGAUGUGGGGAGAGAAUUGUUUUCUUAAGUAAGCACAUGGAAGAAGCAAUAUCUGAAUGGGGAGCCUUAACGCAUAGCUAAGAAACUCUUCGCCACUAUGCUAUUUGAGAACUCUCUCUAAUAAAAACCAAUUUUUC
This 2607-nucleotide long non-coding RNA is filed under the name Podarcis lilfordi (Lilford's wall lizard). Lineage: Eukaryota; Metazoa; Chordata; Lepidosauria; Squamata; Lacertidae. The record is from RNAcentral.